UGGGGAAUUUUGGACAAUGGGCGAAAGCCUGAUCCAGCAAUGCCGCGUGUGUGAAGAAGGCCUUCGGGUUGUAAAGCACUUUUGUCCGGAAAGAAAUCCUUGGCUCUAAUACAGUCGGGGGAUGACGGUACCGGAAGAAUAAGCACCGGCUAACUACGUGCCAGCAGCCGCGGUAAUACGUAGGGUGCAAGCGUUAAUCGGAAUUACUGGGCGUAAAGCGUGCGCAGGCGGUUUGCUAAGACCGAUGUGAAAUCCCCGGGCUCAACCUGGGAACUGCAUUGGUGACUGGCAGGCUAGAGUAUGGCAGAGGGGGGUAGAAUUCCACGUGUAGCAGUGAAAUGCGUAGAGAUGUGGAGGAAUACCGAUGGCGAAGGCAGCCCCCUGGGCCAAUACUGACGCUCAUGCACGAAAGCGUGGGGAGCAAACAGGAUUAGAUACCCUGGUAGUCCACGCCCUAAACGAUGUCAACUAGUUGUUGGGGAUUCAUUUCCUAGUAACGUAGCUAACGCGUGAAGUUGACCGCCUGGGGAGUACGGUCGCAAGAUUAAAACUCAAAGGAAUUGACGGGGU
RNAcentral lists this ribosomal RNA (570 nucleotides) under uncultured bacterium. Its description in RNAcentral is "partial 16S ribosomal RNA". It matches the Rfam family "Bacterial small subunit ribosomal RNA", at positions 355 to 919 of the family's 1533-position model. The record is from RNAcentral.